AUUGAACGCGGCGGCAUGCCUUACACAUGCAAGUCGAACGGCAGCACGGGAGCAAUCCUGGUGGCGAGUGGCGAACGGGUGAGUAAUACAUCGGAACGUGCCCAAUCGUGGGGGAUAACGCAGCGAAAGCUGUGCUAAUACCGCAUACGAUCUACGGAUGAAAGCAGGGGAUCGCAAGACCUUGCGCGAAUGGAGCGGCCGAUGGCAGAUUAGGUAGUUGGUGAGGUAAAGGCUCACCAAGCCGUCGAUCUGUAGCUGGUCUGAGAGGACGACCAGCCACACUGGGACUGAGACACGGCCCAGACUCCUACGGGAGGCAGCAGUGGGGAAUUUUGGACAAUGGGCGAAAGCCUGAUCCAGCCAUGCCGCGUGCAGGAUGAAGGCCUUCGGGUUGUAAACUGCUUUUGUACGGAACGAAACGGCCUUUUCUAAUAAAGAGGGCUAAUGACGGUACCGUAAGAAUAAGCACCGGCUAACUACGUGCCAGCAGCCGCGGUAAUACGUAGGGUGCAAGCGUUAAUCGGAAUUACUGGGCGUAAAGCGUGCGCAGGCGGUUAUGUAAGACAGUUGUGAAAUCCCCGGGCUCAACCUGGGAACUGCAUCUGUGACUGCAUAGCUAGAGUACGGUAGAGGGGGAUGGAAUUCCGCGUGUAGCAGUGAAAUGCGUAGAUAUGCGGAGGAACACCGAUGGCGAAGGCAAUCCCCUGGACCUGUACUGACGCUCAUGCACGAAAGCGUGGGGAGCAAACAGG
Molecule: ribosomal RNA, 752 nt
Filed under: uncultured Comamonadaceae bacterium
Lineage: Bacteria; Pseudomonadati; Pseudomonadota; Betaproteobacteria; Burkholderiales; Comamonadaceae
Description: bacterial SSU rRNA
Rfam family: Bacterial small subunit ribosomal RNA
Source: RNAcentral